The sequence is a small nuclear RNA, 156 nucleotides long. Its record names the gene U1. It matches the Rfam family "U1 spliceosomal RNA". Rfam says of the family: U1 is a small nuclear RNA (snRNA) component of the spliceosome (involved in pre-mRNA splicing). Its 5' end forms complementary base pairs with the 5' splice junction, thus defining the 5' donor site of an intron. There are significant differences in sequence and secondary structure between metazoan and yeast U1 snRNAs, the latter being much longer (568 nucleotides as compared to 164 nucleotides in human). The record is from Ensembl.
AUAAUUACCUGGGAGAGAAAAUACCAUGAUCAGGAAGGUGGUUUUCCCAUGGCGAGGCUUAUCCAUGCACUUUGCAUUUGCAGUGUAAUUUCCCCAAUUAUGGGAAACUCAACUGUAGGAUACAUAAUAGUGGGAGACUGUUGGUACUUUCCCCUG